Molecule: non-coding RNA, 2528 nt
Organism: Kogia breviceps (pygmy sperm whale)
Lineage: Eukaryota; Metazoa; Chordata; Mammalia; Artiodactyla; Physeteridae
Source: RefSeq, a predicted model, not a curated record
GAGGGUGGGGGCUGCGGCGGGCGGCCCGGCGGCCUCCUCGCGCGACCCCCAAGCCCCGAGCCCGGCCCCUCGGCCGGAGCCCGCCAGUGGAAUGUAGACGUUUCUGUCCUUUGGAUUGACAUGGGAGAUGUGAAACUGUGUUCUCCUGAUUUCUGCAGCAGAGCAUUGUGUCCCCGUGACCUGUGCAAUUCUCGAUAGUGCCACAAAAGAGGAAGGAGAGAAGGAACAAGGACAGGAAUCCAGUGACAAGUUCCUAAACAAGCCUUAACCUGUACCAAAAUUAUCAGAUGACAACCAGUUUUGACUGUCUAAUGUAGUAGGUGAUACGGCAUUCUCUAUCGUCUGGGUCAUAUGGGGGUCAGUUAAUGCCACGUCAAAGAGAAUUCUGUAGAACUCUGUUGUCUUCACACAAACCAUGACCCUCAUGGUUGUCAGGUCUUUCAGAUGCAGACUCAUGCUUUCAGGGGGAAAGCUAACCCUGUCAAACCGUGUGUCCUUGCGCUGUACUCAUUUAAUGACCUCGCCCUUUGUUGCGGCAUGCAGGAUCUAGUUCCCGGACCAGGGAUCGAACCCGGGCCCCUGCAUUGGGAGCACAGAGUCUUAACCACUGGGCCACCAGUUUUCAAAAUCCCAGCAGGAUGUUGAGAAAUCAACCAACUGACAAAUGCAAAGGACAAGACUAUCCAAGGUAAACGAACAACACCAAAACUGAAAAUAUUUCACCAACAGAUAUUAAGACCUGUUAUAAAGCUAUAGUUAUAAUUAUGACUGUAAAGUUGGUUGGCAUAAGGAUAGAUAAAUAGACCAAUGUAACAGAAAGCCUAGGCACAAAUCCAAAAAUAUAGAUGAUCUGAUUUAUGACCAGGGGACAUCACUGCAAUGGGUGAAAAGAUGGUCUUUUCAAUAAAUAGUGCAGAGUGAGAUAUCCAUACGAGAAAAAAAAAAUUAUCUAGACCCCUUCCAGACACAAGGCAGAAAAAUCAGUCCCAUAUGGAAUAUAGUCUAAAUGUAAAAGGAGAAAUAAAGAAAACAUAGGAGAAUAUCUUAAUGAUUUUGGGGCAGGCAACAAUUAAAGCACAUAGAAUCAUAAAGGUAAAAAGGUUUUAAGCUAAUCUAUGGUGAUAGGAUCAGAUAGAGGUUACCACUACCCUGGCACAAAAAUUUUUUUUUCAAUAAAAAAGACAAUAUAAAAGAAAUGAUAUGAGUAAGGAUAUAGUUAAGAUUUUUUAAAUGACAAAACUUGUGAAUUUAUGUGGAUAAAUUUGAAAUUUUAGUUAUUUUUUAAAUGAGGAUAUUGUGUGUAUAUAAAAUAACACUAAAUCUGAAUCUUUUUAAAAAUCUACUCCCGAGUAAUCCACCAGAUCUAAAUGGCUUAUGAUGUGGUCUGUUAAACCUUCAAAAGAAACAAUCUUUAUAAAUAUUGCAAUAGAGAAUUUUUAGAAAGGGGGAAGGAUGGGGGAAGCUCAGCUAUGAUACUGAAGUCACAUAGGAUAUGUGAGGGAAAAAAUACUAUACUUCAGUCUCUUAUGAACAUGGCUGAACUAGCCUGAAUAUUAGCAUUUCAAAUUCACCAAUUAAAAUUCACUCAUUGUGACAAAGUAAAAUUUAUUGCCAAAAUGGGAGAAUGGUAUGCAUUGGAAGAUCUUUUCAUAUAAUAUGCCGCAUUAAUAGAUUAAAGAGAAAAAACAUAUUAUCAUCUCAGUGAAUGCAGGAGGAAACAACAAAGUGCAACACUCAUUUUAAAAAUCAACCAAAUGAAACAGCCUCUUGGUAGAUUAUGAAUAGACAGAAGCUGCCUUAGUAUGAUAAACGAUAACUAAAAACCCUGUUUAACAUGACGAGUUAAUGGUAUAACUUUAGAGAUGUUCCUUUAAAGUCAGCAAUAGGACAAGGAUGGCUAUUGUGCAUCUGUUUCACAUUGCACUGAGAUCUUGGCCAGUACAGUAAGAUUAAAAGAAGAAAUAGUCAUAUGGAUUGGAAAGUAAGAAACAAUUACUGUUAGUGGGCAAGAAAAUUAUUUGAAAGUUCAAGGGAAAUUACAAAGUAUUAUAACUAAUAUGAAAGUUGAGGGUUUGGGAAUGGAAUAUAAGAUCAAUAUGCAAGAAUUAGUAGUGCUCCUUUCCACUCAAAACAGUCUAUUUAGGGACUUCCCUGGUGGCGCAGUGGUUAAGAAUCCUCCUACCAGUGCAGGGGACACGGGUUUCAGCCCUGGUCUGGGAAGAUCCCACAUACCCUGGAGCAACUAAGCCCGCGCGUCACAGCUACUGAGCCUGCGCUCUAAAGCCCGCGAGACACAACUUUCUUUUCAUUACUUUAGUAAAAUUGAAAUUACACAUUGCUUAUAACAACAGUUCCACAUGUAAGUCUUUUUACAACACUAAAGUUCUGCAUCAUACUUAGGUUUAGAAAUUAUUGAACACUUGAAGCUUGUUACAGACGUUUGUAGCAGGGAAAUAGAAGAUUGAAGUGCUUUUUCCAAAAUCUGGGAAGUCACACUGAUGUUUUCAUUGAUUUUUUUUUAAAAAAAG